UACGAAGGGGGCUAGCGUUGCUCGGAAUCACUGGGCGUAAAGCGCACGUAGGCGGCUUUUUAAGUCAGGGGUGAAAUCCUGGAGCUCAACUCCAGAACUGCCUUUGAUACUGGGAAGCUUGAGUCCGGAAGAGGUGAGUGGAACUCCGAGUGUAGAGGUGAAAUUCGUAGAUAUUCGGAAGAACACCAGUGGCGAAGGCGGCUCCCUGGUCCGGUACUGACGCUGAGGUGCGAAAGCGUGGGGAGCAAACAGG
This 253-nucleotide ribosomal RNA is filed under the name uncultured bacterium. Its description in RNAcentral is "partial 16S ribosomal RNA". It matches the Rfam family "Bacterial small subunit ribosomal RNA", at positions 524 to 776 of the family's 1533-position model. The record is from RNAcentral.